RNAcentral lists this ribosomal RNA (254 nucleotides) under uncultured bacterium. RNAcentral describes it as "partial 16S ribosomal RNA". It matches the Rfam family "Bacterial small subunit ribosomal RNA", at positions 524 to 776 of the family's 1533-position model. The record is from RNAcentral.
UACGUAGGUGACAAGCGUUGUCCGGAUUUACUGGGCGUAAAGAGCGCGCAGGCGGUCGGUCAAGUCGAGUGUGAAAGCCCCCGGCUCAACUGGGGAGGGUCAUUCGAUACUGAUCGACUCGAAGGCAGGAGAGGGUAGUGGAAUUCCCGGUGUAGUGGUGAAAUGCGUAGAUAUCGGGAGGAACACCAGUGGCGAAGGCGACUACCUGGCCUGUUUCUUGACGCUGAGGCGCGAAAGCUAGGGGAGCAAACGGG